RNAcentral lists this non-coding RNA (23 nucleotides) under Arabidopsis thaliana (thale cress). The record is from RNAcentral. Lineage: Eukaryota; Viridiplantae; Streptophyta; Magnoliopsida; Brassicales; Brassicaceae.
UAAGAACCAAAUAAACCGAUUGC